This 1300-nucleotide ribosomal RNA is filed under the name metagenome. Its description in RNAcentral is "bacterial LSU rRNA". It matches the Rfam family "Bacterial large subunit ribosomal RNA", at positions 1635 to 2925 of the family's 2925-position model. The record is from RNAcentral.
UACACGACCGUACCGCAAACCGACACUGGUGCGCGAGAUGAGUAUUCUAAGGCGCUUGAGAGAACUCAGGAGAAGGAACUCGGCAAAUUGACACCGUAACUUCGGAAGAAGGUGUGCCUUUAGUAGGUGAAGUCCCUCGCGGAUGGAGCCCAAUGAGGUUGCAAAAAAUCGGUGGCUGCGACUGUUUAUUAAAAACACAGCACUCUGCAAACACGAAAGUGGACGUAUAGGGUGUGACGCCUGCCCGGUGCUGGAAGAUUAAAUGAUGGGGUGCAAGCUCUUGAUUGAAGUCCCAGUAAACGGCGGCCGUAACAAUAACGGUCCUAAGGUAGCGAAAUUCCUUGUCGGGUAAGUUCCGACCUGCACGAAUGGCGUAACGAUGGCCACACUGUCUCCUCCUGAGACUCAGCGAAGUUGAAAUGUUUGUGAUGAUGCAAUCUCCCCGCGGAAAGACGGAAAGACCCCAUGAACCUUUACUGUAGCUUUGUAUUGGACUUUGAACAGAUCUGUGUAGGAUAGGUGGGAGGCUUUGAAGCAGGGUCGCUAGAUCUUGUGGAGCCAACGUUGAAAUACCACCCUGGUGUGUUUGAGGUUCUAACCUAGGCCCGUAAUCCGGGUUGGGGACAGUGCAUGGUAGGCAGUUUGACUGGGGCGGUCUCCUCCCAAAGUGUAACGGAGGAGUUCGAAGGUACGCUAGUUACGGUCGGACAUCGUGACGAUAGUGCAAUGGCAUAAGCGUGCUUAACUGCGAGACUGACAAGUCGAGCAGAUGCGAAAGCAGGACAUAGUGAUCCGGUGGUUCUGUAUGGAAGGGCCAUCGCUCAACGGAUAAAAGGUACUCUGGGGAUAACAGGCUGAUACCGCCCAAGAGUUCAUAUCGACGGCGGUGUUUGGCACCUCGAUGUCGGCUCAUCUCAUCCUGGGGCUGUAGCCGGUCCCAAGGGUAUGGCUGUUCGCCAUUUAAAGAGGUACGUGAGCUGGGUUUAAAACGUCGUGAGACAGUUUGGUCCCUAUCUUCCGUGGGCGCUGCAGAUUUGAGGAAGCCUGCUCCUAGUACGAGAGGACCGGAGUGGACGCACCUCUGGUGUAUCGGUUGUCACGCCAGUGGCAUUGCCGAGUAGCUAUGUGCGGAAGAGAUAACCGCUGAAAGCAUCUAAGCGGGAAACUCGUUUCAAGAUGAGAUCUGCCGGGGCCUUGAGCCCCCUGAAGAGUCGUUCAAGACCAGGACGUUGAUAGGUCGGGUGUGGAAGCGCAGUAAUGCGUUAAGCUAACCGAUACUAAUUGCUCGUGCGGCUUGACC